This 352-nucleotide ribosomal RNA is filed under the name uncultured bacterium. RNAcentral's name for it is "bacterial SSU rRNA". It matches the Rfam family "Bacterial small subunit ribosomal RNA", at positions 527 to 881 of the family's 1533-position model. The record is from RNAcentral.
GAAGGGGGCUAGCGUUGCUCGGAAUCACUGGGCGUAAAGGGUGCGUAGGCGGGCGUAUAAGUCAGUGGUGAAAUCCUGGAGCUUAACUCCAGAACUGCCAUUGAUACUAUAUGUCUUGAAUAUGGUGGAGGUAAGCGGAAUAUGUCAUGUAGCGGUGAAAUGCAUAGAUAUGACAUAGAACACCUAUUGCGAAGGCAGCUUACUACGCCUAUAUUGACGCUGAGGCACGAAAGCGUGGGGAUCAAACAGGAUUAGAUACCCUGGUAGUCCACGCCCUAAACGAUGAUUACUCGACGUGUGCGAUAAACGGUACGCGUCUGAGCGAAAGCAUUAAGUAAUCCACCUGGGAAGU